AUUGAACGCUGGCGGCAGGCCUAACACAUGCAAGUCGAGCGGUUGAACGGAGCUUGCUCCUGGAUUCAGCGGCGGACGGGUGAGUAAUGCCUAAGAAUCUGCCUGGCAGAGGGGGAUAACGUCCGGAAACGGGCGCUAAUACCGCAUACGUCCUGAGGCUGAACGUGGGGGUUCUUCCGACCUCACGCUAUCAGAUGAGCCUAGGUCGGAUUAGCUAGCUGGUGGGGUAAAGGCCUACCAAGGCGACGAACCGUAACUGGUCUGAGAGGAUGAUUAGUCACACUGUAACUGAGACACGGUCCACACUCCUACGGGGAGACACAGUGGGGAAUCGUGGGCGUUGGGCGAAAGCCUGAUGCAGCAAUGCCGCGUAUGUAGGGAAAAUCUUCGGAUUGUGAAGCACUUUAAGUUGGAGGGAAGGGCAGUAAGUUAAUACCAUGCGGUUUUGACGAUACAUACAGAAUAAGCAACGGCUAACUACGUG
This 484-nucleotide ribosomal RNA is filed under the name uncultured bacterium. RNAcentral describes it as "partial 16S ribosomal RNA". It matches the Rfam family "Bacterial small subunit ribosomal RNA", at positions 30 to 507 of the family's 1533-position model. The record is from RNAcentral.